This 87-nucleotide transfer RNA is filed under the name Ophiocordyceps unilateralis. It matches the Rfam family "tRNA". Rfam says of the family: Transfer RNA (tRNA) molecules are approximately 80 nucleotides in length. Their secondary structure includes four short double-helical elements and three loops (D, anti-codon, and T loops). Lineage: Eukaryota; Fungi; Ascomycota; Sordariomycetes; Hypocreales; Ophiocordycipitaceae. The record is from Rfam by way of RNAcentral.
GCCCGGGUAGCUCAAUUGGCUAGAGCGUGCGGCUUUUACAAUAGGUGGAAAACCGCAAGGCUGGGGGUUCGAGACCCCCCUCGGGCG